GCCCUCGUAGUUCAACGGAUAGAACAAGGGACUCCUAAGCCCUAAAUACAGGUCCGACUCCUGUCGAGGGUACCA
RNAcentral lists this transfer RNA (75 nucleotides) under Alphaproteobacteria bacterium CG1_02_46_17. Its description in RNAcentral is "tRNA-Arg". It matches the Rfam family "tRNA". Rfam says of the family: Transfer RNA (tRNA) molecules are approximately 80 nucleotides in length. Their secondary structure includes four short double-helical elements and three loops (D, anti-codon, and T loops). The record is from RNAcentral. RNAcentral also lists the same sequence under 1 other name. Lineage: Bacteria; Pseudomonadati; Pseudomonadota; Alphaproteobacteria.